This is a long non-coding RNA of Lycium ferocissimum, 453 nucleotides long. RefSeq lists it as uncharacterized. NCBI's taxonomy places the organism in Eukaryota, Viridiplantae, Streptophyta, Magnoliopsida, Solanales, Solanaceae. The record is from RefSeq and is a predicted model, not a curated record. The transcript has 3 exons.
AGUUGAUAGUAUUUUGUGCAGGAAAGAUAGAAAAUGAAUUGGUUUCAAAGGAAAAUAUAUCUGUACAAUGUGACAUUUGGUUUGUACAUGCUCGACUGGUGGGAACGUUGUCUCUUCAAUAUUUUGGUCCUUGUUUUGCUCUGGUUUAUGUCUUACAAUACCUUUCGAUAUGCUUCCGAUCUCUUCAAUAGGCAAAUUUGGUGAAAGUUCAUCAGCUGUAUCAAGCGUUGUUCUUGACCAUAACUAAGAGAGAUAUGUACGCCACUUUGGUAUUUAACUUGUACGGUUGUUGAAAUUGUUUGCUGUACCAUGGAUAUAGUUGGCUUUGUAUGAAUUCAUCUUACCAGAAAGAUACGUUGCUGUUCUUUACUUAUUCUUUGCCGAUAGAUGACAUUUAAUGUAAUUGUUCGAAUGAUCAAGCAGAUAUAUUUCAAGAAUUUUUCGACUGUUGUG